AUCACUGGGAAGAUUGGUCUCCCAACUUUCGAGUCCCAAAGGCUAGCGAUUGACUCUCCUUUGGACUUGAAUACGCCUGCUAGAAUGCAGACGACGAUGAAGGCAUCCAAUUCCACAGAUUCCCCCCUGCCCUUGCCUCCCCGUAGGCAGUAAUUUAAGGCAGUAAUUGCUCUGGGAGCCUGCCUGUCUGGGUGGUCAGGUCGGCUUGGUCUCUUAUCUUUUGUUAGUGACCAAAUGGUGACAUAGCAACAGGUACUAAAAAUAGCUUCACAGCAAGGAAGGACCAGACACAGUUACUGAGCAGAAAAACGGCAUAAAGCAACAGAGGUUGCUUCCAGAGGAAGUUCAGAUGGAGAAUGUGCCACCAGCACCCUGCAUUAUUGUUUGUGGUCCUCCUGCUUCGCUGCUGAGAUAUUCAUAUUAAGCCUUGACCAAAAGGUUGUCAACGACCACAUAACAACCUUCACCUCUGCAAUUUGUCUGAUGUUUGGCAGUUACUACUACUUCAACAUACACUACCCAGUGGAACUAUGAUCAACACUGGAGUUCCUCCAAAGAUGUUUCUUUUCCAUAAAUCCUGAGAGAGGCACCAAGGUUGAGUCCAAGAAGAAAAAGCUGUUGUCAGUCAACCCCAGAGUCCACACUCUCAUCUCAGACAUUGCAGACCAUGAGUGGACCUAGACAUUGCCUAAAUGUUUGACUAUGAUGUGAUAAGGUUUGCUGUGUUACAUACACUACAGAUGUUUUGUUUUAAAAUUAUACCAAGAGUAAAAUUUCUGAAAGUCAGUGACAGUAACAGUGACAACAUGUUCAGCUUUAUUGCACUGUUUUGUUCCAGAAAGAAAUAGGUAAAACCUAGUUCCAGGGUUCCUUGCAUUUGAUUUAGAGAUAUUGUUUUUUGAGGUUUAUGAUGCAAGACUUCUAACCUUUGCUCCCCUUUAGAAUUGUUGUAUUUAAAUGACGUGAUAAAGAUAUGAUGUAUGUAUAUUACUUGUAUUUUAGUUUUAUUUUGAGUUAGAAUCAACCAAAAAUUCCAUUUUGAAGCUCAGAACAAGUUUAUUUCGUUGUCUGAGGCCAGUUUGAAGAAGUACAUAAUGUUUCUUUGAUUCUUUUCUCGUUGAGUAUUUGUAAAAUAUAUGAAGUAAAAAUUCAAAUAUUUGAUGUUUACAACCUCACAGAUGUUACAUAACAUACUUUGUUAUAAAAGACUAAGUUGGAUAUUUUUAUGGUAUUUGAAAAUUUCAGUUAAUUUGUGUGUUAAGAUUGAAAAACAGAAUGAAUGACUAAAAACACUAGUCUGGGAAAGGUUCUAUAUCACCUGAUAACAGCAAUUGAAGUGUUAAGCUGGCUAAUUAUUUUAUUUAUAUUUAAAAAUGUUUUAAUGCAUGGAAUUAUGUUGUAGUUGAUCAUUUAUGCUC
Brienomyrus brachyistius is the source of this 1418-nucleotide long non-coding RNA. RefSeq lists it as uncharacterized. NCBI's taxonomy places the organism in Eukaryota, Metazoa, Chordata, Actinopteri, Osteoglossiformes, Mormyridae. The transcript has 3 exons. The record is from RefSeq and is a predicted model, not a curated record.